AGCCCCUUAGUACAGUGGCCAAGUAUACAAGGUUCUGGGCCUUGGGACCCAGGUUCGAAUCCUGGAGGGGCUA
RNAcentral lists this transfer RNA (73 nucleotides) under Nanobdellota archaeon. RNAcentral describes it as "tRNA-Gln". It matches the Rfam family "tRNA". From Rfam's summary of the family: Transfer RNA (tRNA) molecules are approximately 80 nucleotides in length. The record is from RNAcentral. Lineage: Archaea; Nanobdellati; Nanobdellota.